UUCUAAAGGUCGACCUCGGAUCGGGUAGGGAUACCCGCUAAACUUAAGCAUAUCAGUCAGCGGAGGAAAAGAAAGCAACUGCGAUUGCCCUAGUAACGGCGAGUGAAGCGGCAGCAGCCCAGAUUUAAAAUCUGGCCCUCUUGUGGGGUCCGAGUUGUAAUCUGCAGAGGAAGCGUCUGGCGCGGCGCCGGCCUAGUUCCCUGGAACGGGACGCCGUAGAGGGUGACAGCCCCGUACGGUCGGCCGCCAAGCCUGUGUGUCGCUCCUUCGAAGAGUCGCGUAGUUUGGGAAUGCUGCGCAAAGCGGGAGGUAUGCUCCUCCUAAGGCUAAAUACCGGCCAGAGACCGAUAGCGCACAAGUAGAGUGAUCGAAAGAUGAAAAGCACCUUGAAAAUGGGGUUAAAAAGUACGUGAAAUUGCCAAAGGGGAAGCGCUCGUGGCCAGACUCGUGCCCGGCGGAUCAUCCGGCCUUCUCGCCGGUGCACUCCGCCGGGCUCGGGCCAGCGUCGGUCGGCGCCGGUAACUAAAAUGGUGGCGCGAAGCGUGGCUCCCUUCGGGGAGUGUUAUA
RNAcentral lists this ribosomal RNA (567 nucleotides) under Harzia acremonioides. RNAcentral's name for it is "eukaryotic LSU rRNA". It matches the Rfam family "Eukaryotic large subunit ribosomal RNA", at positions 1 to 563 of the family's 3401-position model. Lineage: Eukaryota; Fungi; Ascomycota; Sordariomycetes; Coronophorales; Ceratostomataceae. The record is from RNAcentral.